This is a long non-coding RNA of Carassius auratus (goldfish), 1736 nucleotides long. The record is from Ensembl. NCBI's taxonomy places the organism in Eukaryota, Metazoa, Chordata, Actinopteri, Cypriniformes, Cyprinidae.
GUCCUAUUUAACAUCUAAACGUUCUUAAAUCAAGAUGCAUUUACUUGUGAAGCCAAAUUCUCAAAAGAGAAGCAAAUCUGUGGUAUUCUCCUUUUGUUUUCUGCUGGAGAUUAAACAAAGCGUGUUUGGAAGGACAUGAGGCUGAGUAAAAUUAAAAGGUUUGACUCUGGACACCAGCGAACGAGCCGCAGCUCCGUCACAGGUAAUAAAUCUUCAUCUCUGACGUCUGUCGGAUCAAAGCAGAACCAGGGUCAUCUUCUGCAGCUCCGAGUCCUUCAUGCAUCCUCCGCUUCACCUUACUGGAGAAUUCAUGAAGCCUGUCGGUUCGAAUCAACAGCAGAGAAGCUUUUUAUGCUGAUCUGUUAAGUUUCAUUGAGAUAUAGAUUGAAUUAAUUCCAUUUUCAUUUUAAAUUCAGUUAAAGUUUUAGUGAUUAUGUAUUUUUUAAACAUUCAUUUCAAUUGCAGUUAUAUAGUACAUCGUUACACAACAAAAUGAGAAUGAGAUGAAAUUAAAUAUGUUUAUGAAAUAUAUUACACACACACAUACACACACACACACUUAUAAUGUGUACAAUAAAAAUAUACGUAUUGUUUAGACACUGAUUGAGGAUCAAAUCUCAAUACAUUUAAGUCAAUUACAAUUUUAUUUUUUAUUGCUUUUUACUUUUUUUUUUUUUGCAUUGUAAUAUUUUAAUUGACCAAUUUACAUUAAAUGUAAAUACAAUUUAUGAAAUGUAAAUACAAAGUUUUAACAUUUAAGUUUUCAGUUUUAAUCAACCUUUUUUGUAUGUGAUAAUUUUUAAGUAUAAAGUCAGUUUGUUUUUAGAUAAUUUUGCCAUUCAAUGUUUGAGACUUUAUAUAUAUAUUUUUAACAUGCAUUCUAAUAUUUAAAUUGUCCAAAUUUAGAUAUUUUUGAUGAGUUUUUGUAGGUUACCAACACCCCACCACCUCUCUUUCUUCAGGACAUUAUGUCUUUCAUAACUGCUUUAAAAGCCUAUUACAGCAGGCUCCAGUUGUGACAACUUGCCCCGAUGUUCAGUGGUGUUUAUUUUUGGUGACUUUGUAUCUAUUCACUGGAGUGUCACAGCCAGCAUCCUGGCUUUCACGGUCCAUUUCAAUUUAAGACUUAUUUCGCAUGUUCAGUAGAAGUACCUUCCAUAAUUACACUCUAGAAUCCAUAGUCUCAGUAAAGCCGCAUUAUGAUGCACAACUCUAUUAGCGCGUGCUGAUUUGAGUGCAUCGGAUUGCGCUCAUUGACCCGCACUAAUGCAGCUGGAGUGCGUGAUGAAUCCUCGCCACACACUGCUCUGAUCCCGCAGAGAAGGACUGAGAAACACGAGCGGUGCAGUAUCGACGAAAUGCACAGUCGUUUAGCGUUAACUGAGAGGAGUUUGGCUGUUCCUCAUAAUUACGCACGAGGCGUUUCUGCGUAAUGGAUAAAGUUACAGAUGCAUCCUUGAAGCGGGAACGCACCGACUGGAAUUCAGUGAUGAUGAUGAUGAUGAUGAAGGCACAGUUACGUGGCUGACCCGACCUGUGCUGGUAGUCUAUAUAAACCCCAUCCAGCAAGAGAAAGUCAACAACACCCGUCCAGAUUCAGUAGCUACCGUCAAACACGCUCAACAAGUCCACGGACCGCGCGCGCCCGGGUUAUGAAGCGAGAACAAGCACGAAACAUCACAGAAUAGCCUCGUCUUUGCGAUGCACGCAGACUUCUUCCAGAUGAAGCAGCCACU